UCCUCCCUCUGGCGGCGUGCUUAACACAUGCAAGUCGAACGGAAAGGCCCUGCUUUUGUGGGGUGCUCGAGUGGCGAACGGGUGAGUAACACGUGAGUAACCUGCCCUUGACUUUGGGAUAACUUCAGGAAACUGGGGCUAAUACCGGAUAGGAGCUCCUGCUGCAUGGUGGGGGUUGGAAAGUUUCGGCGGUUGGGGAUGGACUCGCGGCUUAUCAGCUUGUUGGUGGGGUAGUGGCUUACCAAGGCUUUGACGGGUAGCCGGCCUGAGAGGGUGACCGGCCACAUUGGGACUGAGAUACGGCCCAGACUCCUACGGGAGGCAGCAGUGGGGAAUAUUGCACAAUGGGCGGAAGCCUGAUGCAGCAACGCCGCGUGCGGGAUGACGGCCUUCGGGUUGUAAACCGCUUUCGCCUGUGACGAAGCGUGAGUGGCGGUAAUGGGUAAAGAAGCACCGGCUAACUACGUG
This 468-nucleotide ribosomal RNA is filed under the name uncultured bacterium. RNAcentral's name for it is "partial 16S ribosomal RNA". It matches the Rfam family "Bacterial small subunit ribosomal RNA", at positions 36 to 507 of the family's 1533-position model. The record is from RNAcentral.